This 76-nucleotide transfer RNA is filed under the name Candidatus Pacearchaeota archaeon. RNAcentral describes it as "tRNA-Asn". It matches the Rfam family "tRNA". Rfam says of the family: Transfer RNA (tRNA) molecules are approximately 80 nucleotides in length. Their secondary structure includes four short double-helical elements and three loops (D, anti-codon, and T loops). The record is from RNAcentral. Lineage: Archaea; Nanobdellati.
UGGGGUGUAGCGCAAUUGGCAGCGCAUCCGGUUGUUACCCGGAAGGUUGGUGGUUCGAGUCCACCCGCCCCAGCCA